GCGGCGAUAGCAGAAACUGUCAACACUGUCAUCAAUGUAACGGUAUUUUUCUCCAAGGGACGCGCUGGAUGGUUGUUCGCGAAGUGUUUCUACUGUUUUUCCGAUAAUCACAACGUUUGCAGCAUGGAUUACCAAAACCAUGCCAGUGACAACACCGGCGGUGCAGGCGAGAGCAAGUGGUACCGGCGUGAACGAUUGCACCAGCUAGCGCCGGAAAAGAUCGAUCUGAACCAGGAUAAAAUGAUGCAGCAUCUGACCUACAGUCAUGGCAAAAAUCAUCAAGCCAAUUUGGCACAUCGUGCCGCGAAACAAGCGAAGGAAGCACCGUGAGUUGUACGACCGGAAAAACCACGCAUCGAGCCGAAAAAGUUCGCCAAGAUCGAUCGCCCCGGUUAUCAGGUGACGAAGCAGCACGAUCGGGAGAAUGGCCAACAGUCCUUGUCUUCCAAAGCGACUAUCCGGAAUUUACGGACGGUAUUGUACCAUCCGUUGUGAUUGUAGAAUCAGUUUAUGUUCGUUUACGAACCACCAUCGAAAAGAUCGACCACCAGUCAAACACGAGAAGACGAGCUUCCGCCAAUUUCCACCAUGAAACGCAUGGCGCUAGCAUCGGCGACAGCACGAACUGUCAGUGCUGUCAUCAAUGUCAAGCCAUUUGUCUCCAAGGGACGCGCUGGAUGGUUGUUCGCGAAGUGUUUCUACUGUUUUUCCGAUAAUCACAACGUUUGCAGCAUGGAUUACCAAAACCAUGCCAGUGACAACACCGGCGGUGCAGGCGAGAGCAAGUGGUACCGGCGUGAACGAUUGCACCAGCUAGCGCCGGAAAAGAUCGAUCUGAACCAGGAUAAAACGAUGCAGCAUCUGACCUACAGUCAUGGCAAAAAUCAUCAAGCCAAUUUGGCACAUCGUGCCGCGAAACAAGCGAAGGAAGCACCGUGAGUUGUACGACCGGAAAAACCACGCAUCGAGCCGAAAAAGUUCGCCAAGAUCGAUCGCCCCGGUUAUCAGGUGACGAAGCAGCACGAUCGGGAGAAUGGCCAACAGUCCUUGUCUUCCAAAGCGACUAUCCGGAAUUUACGGACGGUAUUGUACCAUCCGUUGUGAUUGUAGAAUCAGUUUAUGUUCGUUUACGAACCACCAUCGAAAAGAUCGACCACCAGUCAAACACGAGAAGACGAGCUUCCGCCAAUUUCCACCAUGAAACGCAUGGCGCUAGCAUCGGCGACAGCACGAACUGUCAGUGCUGUCAUCAAUGUCAAGCCAUUUGUCUCCAAGGGACGCGCUGGAUGGUUGUUCGCGAAGUGUUUCUACUGUUUUUCCGAUAAUCACAACGUUUGCAGCAUGGAUUACCAAAACCAUGCCAGUGACAACACCGGCGGUGCAGGCGAGAGCAAGUGGUACCGGCGUGAACGAUUGCACCAGCUAGCGCCGGAAAAGAUCGAUCUGAACCAGGAUAAAACGAUGCAGCAUCUGACCUACAGUCAUGGCAAAAAUCAUCAAGCCAAUUUGGCACAUCGUGCCGCGAAACAAGCGAAGGAAGCACCGUGAGUUGUACGACCGGAAAAACCACGCAUCGAGCCGAAAAAGUUCGCCAAGAUCGAUCGCCCCGGUUAUCAGGUGACGAAGCAGCACGAUCGGGAGAAUGGCCAACAGUCCUUGUCUUCCAAAGCGACUAUCCGGAAUUUACGGACGGUAUUGUACCAUCCGUUGUGAUUGUAGAAUCAGUUUAUGUUCGUUUACGAACCACCAUCGAAAAGAUCGACCACCAGUCAAACACGAGAAGACGAGCUUCCGCCAAUUUCCACCAUGAAACGCAUGGCGCUAGCAUCGGCGACAGCACGAACUGUCAGUGCUGUCAUCAAUGUCAAGCCAUUUGUCUCCAAGGGACGCGCUGGAUGGUUGUUCGCGAAGUGUUUCUACUGUUUUUCCGAUAAUCACAACGUUUGCAGCAUGCAUUAUCAAAAUCAUGCCAGUGACAACACCGGCGGCGUAGGCGAGAGCAAAUGGUACCGGCGUCAACGAUUGCACCAGCUAGCGCCGGAAAAGAUCGAUCUGAACAAGGAUAUCUACUAAGAUCCAACGAGGGCAUCAUCUGUCCUACCCGCGAGGUGAAAAGCAUCAGGUCAAUCUGGCUCAUCGUGCCGUGAAAGAAAGGAAGGGAGCACCGUCGUUGAUAAAACUGGGAAAGAAACGAAUCGAUCCGAAAAAGUGUGUUAAGAUCGGUACCGCGGCUUCGGUUUAUUUCCGCUUAGGUACAAAAAAUCGUAACUGGACCGUGCCACUGAAAGAAAAACACAAAAUGAAUUUUCCUACAGUUUUCUUAACGCCGGAAGCGAAGAAAAUUCCGCCACCGAAUGAGCACCGUAAGUUGAUAUUUAAUCCGGUUCCGCCACCGCCGACAAACGUAAAGCGAGUGCAAAUUGACUAACGUCCGGAUGUGGAUGUAAAACUGAUGUAAAAUCAUAAUUUACAAUAAUAAAAUGUUCCUAUGU
This is an RNA transcript of Anopheles funestus (African malaria mosquito), 2492 nucleotides long. It is a transcript of the gene named splicing factor 3A subunit 2-like, with no coding region annotated. The transcript has 9 exons. The record is from RefSeq and is a predicted model, not a curated record. NCBI's taxonomy places the organism in Eukaryota, Metazoa, Arthropoda, Insecta, Diptera, Culicidae.